AGCAGCCGCGGUAAUUCCAGUUCCAAUAGCGUAUAUUAAAGUUGUUGCAGUUAAAAAGCUCGUAGUUGAAUUUCGGGAUUGACGUGAUGGUCGUGCCUUACGGGGUAUGAACUGUUGCAGUCAAUUUCUCACCUUCUGGAGAAAUAUGAUGUCCUUAAUUGGGUGUCAUAUGGAACCAGAACUUUUACCUUGAAAAAAUUAGAGUGUUUAAAGCAGGCUUAUUGCUCGAGUACAUUAGCAUGGAAUAAUAAAAUAGGACGGCAUGGUUCUAUUUUGUUGGUUUCUAGGAUCACCGUAAUGAUUAAUAGGGAUAGUUGGGGGCAUUAGUAUUCAAUUGUCAGAGGUGAAAUUCUUGGAUUUAUUGAAGACUAACUACUGCGAAAGCAUUUGCCAAGGAUGUUUUCAUUAAUCAAGAACGAAAGUUAGGGGAUCGAAGACGAUCAGAUACCGUCGUAGUCUUAACCAUAAACUAUGCCGACUAGGAAUCAGACGAUGUUAAUUUUUUAAUGACUCGUUUGGC
Molecule: ribosomal RNA, 520 nt
Filed under: uncultured Entrophospora
Lineage: Eukaryota; Fungi; Glomeromycota; Glomeromycetes; Entrophosporales; Entrophosporaceae
Description: SSU rRNA
Rfam family: Eukaryotic small subunit ribosomal RNA
Source: RNAcentral